CCUACGGGUGGCAGCAGUGAGGAAUAUUGGUCAAGGGGCGCGAGCCUGAACCAGCCAAGCCGCGUGAGGGAAGAAGGUCCUAUGGAUUGUAAACCUCUUUUGUCGGGGAGCAAAAGAAGCCACGCGUGGCGUACCGAGAGUACACGAAGAAAAAGCAUCGGCUAACCCCGUGCCAGCAGCCGCGGUAAUACGGAGGAUGCGAGCGUUCUCCGGAUUUAUUGGGUGUAAAGGGUGCGCAGGCGGAAGAUCAAGUCAGCGGUAAAAUUGCGAGGCUCCACCGCUGCGAGCCGUUGAAACUGGGUUUCUUGAGUGUGUGAGCGGUAUGCGGAAUGCGUGGUGUAGCGGUGA
Molecule: ribosomal RNA, 348 nt
Filed under: uncultured bacterium
Lineage: Bacteria
Description: partial 16S ribosomal RNA
Rfam family: Bacterial small subunit ribosomal RNA
Source: RNAcentral